CACGCCGCCGCAGCCCGGGCGGGCGGGCGGGUUCAUCACGCCUCUCAGAAUGACUGCGGCUUAAAACUCACGGAUUAUUCACCCCUGGGAUUUGCCAUUGAGUGCUGUGGACUGCUGCUGACCACAGUCCCACUAGCUUCCAUGAGAAUGAGCCCAGGCUAGUCUGAUGGAGGAUGAGAGACCAUAUGGAGCAGAGAUGAGCUAACCUAGCAUGACCUGCAUGAGUAACCUCAAAGACAGAAGAACCACCCAGCUUAACCCAUCUUCAAUGGUCAGCCUGAAGAAUUGUGAUGCUGUUUCUGCUGGUCCUGGGAUCCCACACUUGAACCACGGCUCUAAACCAACAACUGAGCCCGAGGACUUCAAUGCUUGCAAACAUUCCAUCACAAUAUAAAUAUUUCUUUAUUGUU
Non-coding RNA from Microcebus murinus (gray mouse lemur), 410 nucleotides. The record is from RefSeq and is a predicted model, not a curated record. Lineage: Eukaryota; Metazoa; Chordata; Mammalia; Primates; Cheirogaleidae.